RNAcentral lists this ribosomal RNA (484 nucleotides) under uncultured bacterium. RNAcentral's name for it is "partial 16S ribosomal RNA". It matches the Rfam family "Bacterial small subunit ribosomal RNA", at positions 30 to 507 of the family's 1533-position model. The record is from RNAcentral.
AUUGAACGCUGGCGGCAGGCCUAACACAUGCAAGUCGAGCGGAUGAAGGGAGCUUGCUCCUGGAUUCAGCGGCGGACGGGUGAGUAAUGCCUAGGAAUCUGCCUGGUCGUGGGGGAUAACGUCCGGAAACGGGCGCUAAUACCGCAUACGUCCUGAGGGAGAAAGGGGGGGAUCUUCGGACCUGACGCUAUCACAUGAGCCUAGGUCGGAUUAGCUAGUUGGUGGGGUAAAGGCCUACCAAGGCGACGAUCCGUAACUGGUCUGAGAGGGUGAUCAGUCACACUGGAACUGAGACACGGUCCAGACUCCUACGGGAGGCAGCAGUGGGGAAUAUUGGACAAUGGGCGAAAGCCUGAUCCAGCCAUGCCGCGUGAGUGAAGAAGGUCUUCGGAUUGUAAAGCACUGUUAUUUGGGAGGAAGGGCAGUAAGUGAAUACCUUGCUGGUUUGACGUUAUCAACAGAAUAAGCAACGGCUAACUUCGUG